UAUAUACAGAUUCAUACUUGUACAUUCAUCAUUCUUUUUGUUCUUGAUUUAGGUUUUUUUUAUGUCUAAACUCAGCAUACUGAUUCCUAAAAAAGGAUCAUUCAAAAAGAAAACUUAUACAUGGAUCAAAGAGAGAAACAUAAAUCUAAGAAGAGUGACAGCUAUCUAUGGGGAUGACUAUGCCCAAUUUUCUUGAUUCUUUGUGGAGAGGCGUUUGAGGAAUUCAUAAGUAGUGAUCAUUGUGGUUGCAGACAUGGACAUUGAAGCCCAUCGAGGGCCUAAUCCUCUGUAACAAGCCAUCCACCCACCUUCCUUUACUAAAUUUCUUACCGUCUGAGCUACUGUUGGCCCUCUCCGUCCAUUCUCAUCGCCAUCCAGGACCUGCAAUCUUGUCUUGAUUGUGUCUAAUGGUGUUGUAAUCAGCGCUGAAACACCUCCGGCCAUGGCUGCACUCACUCCCUGAACCAUCAUAACAGUCUUCGAAUCAGGCUUCAGAGUACUUUUGAUGUUAUCCUCAAUUCUGUCAUCACCAUUCUUGCUGAAGUAACAUCCAUACCCACUCCAGACAAGCCGCUGAGUGAUGGUGUAGGAUGUCCACCACAGUGCAUUGGAUGGGGCAUAUGUCAAAAUUGAAAACCCAAAACCUCUGUAGAGUCCCUUAGGUCCAUCUGUCUUGAGGAUUCGUCGAAAAGCAUCAAUCCCAUUGAGAUAUUUACAGGAUGCUGGUGCAGCACAAACACGCUGCACCAUGAGCCGCUGGCUGACCACAUCCACCGGAGUCCAAACCAAUUGUGCGGCCACAGCUGCGCUCAAUCCAGCAGCAGCACUGGCUAACGCAGUCGCAGUUGGCUCAGGAAUGCCGAGCCUAACCGUGGCCGUACCAACACUACUCUUGGUAACCUCAAGAGCAGUCAUAUAAAGUGCCCUAGCAGGAAUUGUACCCAUCAACGAAGUCCCAAACCCCCGAUACAAUCCACGAAUUCCUUCAAGCCUAACAACGGAUAAGGCAGUUCUAAAACAGGAAAGAUGAGCUUGGGCUACCUGUUGUCGAGUCUUCAACACCACAACAGGAUAAAGCACAGCUGAAACACCUGAAAAUAAGGCGGCGCCGAGGAAGAAAAACUUAGAUUUGUCCAGCAUUUGCCAGUCUACAUCCGCCGGCAACUGGAUUUCCUUACCCGAUUCCUCCUCCGCUACACCUAAACUCAUUUUCCCCAGUUUUCCUGUCUCGGUCUCAAUUUUCACAAGAUACUUUUAUUCCUUCCGGGAAAUGUACAGUACAAAUCAACGUCUAAUCUACUAAAUUGAAGCUAGAUGGAGAAGGUAAAGAUUUUUUUCGCUGGCGAAUCCAUAUUUUGGAUCGGAAAUGGGUAAUAGCAAAAGGACCUAACAUUUCUGUAAUCGCAUCAUAUGAGAAAGAUUCAUAAUGGUCAACUAUACAAAUCGUAAUAGAUCGGAAAACUCACCGGAAAAUCUAGGAUCUCGGCGGAGAUAUUCAAUCGGAGUGAACUUGCUUG
This 1517-nucleotide unclassified non-coding RNA is filed under the name Hevea brasiliensis (rubber tree). Lineage: Eukaryota; Viridiplantae; Streptophyta; Magnoliopsida; Malpighiales; Euphorbiaceae. The record is from RNAcentral.